This is a non-coding RNA of Paramuricea clavata, 2036 nucleotides long. The record is from the annotation of a GenBank genome assembly. Lineage: Eukaryota; Metazoa; Cnidaria; Anthozoa; Malacalcyonacea; Plexauridae.
CAAUUUGAAAUUCAUUUGUACACGUGUACACAUUUAAAACUUGCAUUAAAAGUAGAAACACGUUCUAUCGUUUGAUAUAUACGAUAUUUUUGGUCCAUUUCGAAAUUCGAAUUUCAUGAUUUCCAUAACAUUUAUAUUAACUUUUAACAUUAAGAGAUAUUAGAAUAUAUCUAAAAUAAUAUAUUGUUUGACAGGUGUCAGGUGCGAAACGAAUAGCUGAACGCAUACAAAACUUUACUUUUGAUAAAGUUUUGGUUGAACGUUGUGGAUACAUCUUUGAAGAUGGUGACGAUUAUUUAACAACAUUCCCACCAACACUUUGUUUAACAAGAUAUCUUAAAGCUUGAGCAGCUCUUGAAAAUUCUAACAUCUCUCGCACUUUAUUCAAGUAAUAUUCAUUACUUAAGAAAAAAGGUCAAUAAAAUGGUAGAAUGUUAAACGAUUAUUACUAGUAAAUGUUUCUAAAAUUUAUGCCUGUGUCCAGGAAGAACUACUUUGAUAUAUGCAUAUAUGUUCUUAGUUAUCUACCUUUACCAACUUUCCGACAACGUUCUUGGACUACCUUGUGCACGGUAAAAAUUAUAUUCGUAGAUGUUUUGCAGAGUCCUAUAAUUCUAGCUCUUCUGAUAUUGGGUUUCCGUUGAUAAAUUUCUACUUUUCAUUUGUACAAGCAACACCACAAUUGAACCACAUUCGUGCGAACAUAGCCAUGAUUGUUUCAUCCCAUAUAAUUUCAAAAGCUGUCAUAUAGCCGCAAGAGUUAACUACGGAUUCCUAGACGGAUUUCCUACAAGGAUGUUUUUCAAGCUUUCGAAGCACCUGAUAUGGUAACCUUUGAAACUGCGAGAAUAAGACUGUCAUUUUCAGUAUUUCGAACAAGCAUAGAUGAUCUAUAGUUAGUGCCAUUAAUAACAAGUGUUACACCGUAAUAAAACUUUAAUCCUUCCCAUAAAGUAAAUAUUUGCUUUUCGCUCGUUAAAGAUGUAAAUCAGGAACCAACAUUUGAUGCUUGCGGCAGGUGUUUUAUAUUUCUCCAAAGAAUAUAUACAACAACUAUUCACAUUUAGUCUUUCAAUCCAGGAUUAAUCCUCAGCUAGCGCGUACAUAUUUUUGUAGUAUCACAUUAACCCGUCUCGUUUCCUUUGCAAUGUUACACGUCUGUUUAAUAUAAUUGGGUUUCUUGAAUAACAUCAGAUUUUGGAGUUUCUAUUGAACGAGAAUGGCAUGACAGAAAUACACUCUGUUGGAAAUAGUCAGCUGAAGGUAUUAAUCUUUAUAGCUAGUAUAUUAUCCAUUAAUUCAUUUUCCUAAUUUCGUUGUUCGCUCAGAGUACGCACGAAUGAAGAAUACGUAUUGUUCUGCAUGUCGUCCAAGUUAAGGCAGGAGCAAAUGUUUCAGAUUUUGUUGAUAGUGUUUAUAAUGCUUGCUUUCAUCAAUGUUCCACUAAGUCGCUAAAUGGUAGUUGAAUUUCACCGUCAUUUUCCGCAAAUACAGGACAAGAUAGUGAGCAGUGUCACCAGAUACUGUAAUAUGCUUUCAUGAUCAGAGCCGUAAGCAGGAUCAUUUUACCAGGGGGGGGGGGGGCAGUAAGGCCUAUAUGCCGAAAAAAGUCCUAAAUAUCUAAAGAACCAUUAGUAAUGACAGUAAUGACAUUCUAUAAAAAUCUGUAAAUAUAGUUUUCUCUGGGGGAAGCGGUUACCCCCCCCCCCCUGUGUACGGCCCUGUUCAUGAUUAAUAGUUCAAAUGUAUCAUCGAUUUAUCGGAAUGUGAUUCGGUGAAAAUAUUUCCAGAAGUUUUGUGUUCUGAUAUUGCUUGCUUCAUACUGUUCGCCACCAUUGAUUUUUAUCCACGUUGCGGAAUGUUGGAUAAAGUUUAUUAUUUUAUUUUUCACAAAUAUAAAACUCAAUCACUACGUCUGUGUGUCACACACAUAAACAUGCUUAUUCUGUUACAAACUCCAAUAUAUAUGGUGUUUCCAUCUUUCAAAUAAAGUUUAUACAAAUUUGCAUAAAAACUAAGCCACCUUGAAAAUGUUU